UUCUAGACGAGAAAAAACGAAAGAGUGAAGUGGCGAGGAAGCGCAAAUCCACUGCACCACCAGAAGUUGAAGAACGUGAUCAGGUUUUUUCUGCUUCUGCUUGACACACAACGGCAGUAAAUAUGGUUGUGGAAGAAAAUGUGCAGCAGGCUGAAGCUCUGCC
Selaginella moellendorffii is the source of this 163-nucleotide long non-coding RNA. RefSeq lists it as uncharacterized. The transcript has 3 exons. NCBI's taxonomy places the organism in Eukaryota, Viridiplantae, Streptophyta, Lycopodiopsida, Selaginellales, Selaginellaceae. The record is from RefSeq and is a predicted model, not a curated record.